RNAcentral lists this ribosomal RNA (253 nucleotides) under uncultured bacterium. Its description in RNAcentral is "partial 16S ribosomal RNA". It matches the Rfam family "Bacterial small subunit ribosomal RNA", at positions 524 to 776 of the family's 1533-position model. The record is from RNAcentral.
UACGAAGGGGGCUAGCGUUGCUCGGAAUCACUGGGCGUAAAGCGCACGUAGGCGGAUUGUUAAGUCAGGGGUGAAAUCCUGGAGCUCAACUCCAGAACUGCCUUUGAUACUGGCGAUCUUGAGUCCGGGAGAGGUGAGUGGAACUGCGAGUGUAGAGGUGAAAUUCGUAGAUAUUCGCAAGAACACCAGUGGCGAAGGCGGCUCACGGGCCCGGUACUGACGCUGAGGUGCGAAAGCGUGGGGAGCAAACAGG